AUUGAACGCUGGCGGCAUGCCUUACACAUGCAAGUCGAACGGCAGCACGGGAGCAAUCCUGGUGGCGAGUGGCGAACGGGUGAGUAAUAUAUCGGAACGUGCCCAGUCGUGGGGGAUAACGCAGCGAAAGCUGUGCUAAUACCGCAUACGAUCUCUGGAUGAAAGCGGGGGACUCGCAAGAGCCUCGCGCGAUUGGAGCGGCCGAUAUCAGAUUAGCUAGUUGGUGGGGUAAAAGCCCACCAAGGCGACGAUCUGUAGCUGGUCUGAGAGGACGACCAGCCACACUGGAACUGAGACACGGUCCAGACUCCUACGGGAGGCAGCAGUGGGGAAUUUUGGACAAUGGGCGCAAGCCUGAUCCAGCAAUGCCGCGUGCAGGACGAAGGCCUUCGGUUGGUAAACUGCUUUGUACGGACGAAACGGUACCUUCUAAUAAAGAAGGCUAAUGACGGUACCGUAAGAAUAAGACACCGGCGUAACUAACGUGCCACG
RNAcentral lists this ribosomal RNA (492 nucleotides) under uncultured bacterium. RNAcentral's name for it is "bacterial SSU rRNA". It matches the Rfam family "Bacterial small subunit ribosomal RNA", at positions 30 to 512 of the family's 1533-position model. The record is from RNAcentral.